This is a non-coding RNA of Gossypium hirsutum (cotton), 120 nucleotides long. The record is from Rfam. Lineage: Eukaryota; Viridiplantae; Streptophyta; Magnoliopsida; Malvales; Malvaceae.
GGGUGCGAUCAUACUAGCAUUAAUGCAAUGGAUUUCAAUAGAACUCUACAAUUAAGCGUGCUUAGGUGAGAGUAAUACUAGGAUGGGUGACUUUUUGGGAAAUCGUCAUGUUUGCACCGC